Molecule: long non-coding RNA, 937 nt
Organism: Daphnia magna
Lineage: Eukaryota; Metazoa; Arthropoda; Branchiopoda; Diplostraca; Daphniidae
Exons: 3
Source: RefSeq, a predicted model, not a curated record
GAAUGGAGAGGGGGAAACAGAAGUAGGUAUAAAGAGAGACAGAGAGAAAGGUGAAGGUGAGGGCCAAGCCAAAACAGGUAGACAACACUUUGGCGCCAUGCACAACACGGUGCGCUCUUCAGCGGGGCAACCUUCAAGAGAUCAGUCAAGUCCAAACUGAUUCGUUUUUCUGAUGACUUGCAAUUACAAUCUAUACCUACACUUCUCGUUUGAGGUUGGAGAGCUUAAAAAUAUCCAUUUUCUUAGCUGUGCCGGCUAGAAAAAAAAAAUAAUAAUAAUAAUAAAAGGGAAAAAGAAAAAUCCCAGAGAAUCAUGCAUGUUCAAUGCUUUUAACCACAAGUAAUGGCAACAGCGGCUGAUUGCGAGCAAGGGUCCAAGGGAGAGCUAGCGAUAUUAUGGAAAAAGGGUUUUACAUCCUAUGACGAACAGGGGCGUCUGAUCACCUGGAAUUCACAUCUUGCCUGCGGCAUGUUUAAGUCACUUCUCCCUCUCUGAACAAGCUCGCGCACAUCCGUGGUUUUUAUGGCGGAAUAAAAGGUAUCGGCGCGGGAAUGUUGGGCACGACAUAGCCUCCUAUACCACCGGGUUCAUUUUCAACGAUUUUUCCAAAUACAAAUUUACUCUCGUAUUCUUCCAAAAAAUGUUUUGCCAAUUGUAAAUCGUGCAUCUUCCCCGGAGAAAAAAUGUCUAAAUCCGGCCAACAUAUUUAUUCAUUCAGAAUACUUUUCAUAAGAUUGCAGAACAUAUCAAUUCCUGACUGAUGGCAUUGCAGGCCCAACAAUCAUAGACCUGGUAGUCGGUGCAGAUCAUCAACAGUACCGCCAUGCGAAACACUACACCAGUUUUUCAAUUUCUUAUACAAAUCAGAAAUAUCUGGCCAUAUUUCUCGUCUUACAGUUAAAUCAUGGAAAUUACAUCACUAACAAACUAAUCGUUU